GAUGAACGCUGGCGGCGUGCCUAAUACAUGCAAGUCGAGCGAACAGACGAGGCGCUUGCUCCUCUGACGUUAGCGGCGGACGGGAGAGUAACACGUGGAUAACCUACCUAUAAGACUGGGAUAACUUCGGGAAACCGGAGCUAAUACCGGAUAAUCUAUUGAACCGCAUGGUUCAAUAGUGAAAGACGGUUUUGCUGUCACUUAUAGAUGGAUCCGCGCCGCAUUAGCUAGUUGGUAAGGUAACGGCUUACCAAGGGAACGAUGCGUAGCCGACCUGAGAGGGUGAUCGGCCACACUGGAACGUGGACACGGUCCAGACGCCUACGAGAGGGAGCAGUAGGGAAUCUGCGGCAAUGGGCGAAAGCCUGACGGAGCAACGCCGCGUGAGUGAUGAAGGUCUUCGGAUCGGAAAGCUCUGUUAUUAGGGAAGAACAAAUGUGUAAGUAACUAUGCACUUCUUGACGGUACCUAAUCAGAAAGCCACGGCUAACUACGUG
Molecule: ribosomal RNA, 497 nt
Filed under: uncultured bacterium
Lineage: Bacteria
Description: partial 16S ribosomal RNA
Rfam family: Bacterial small subunit ribosomal RNA
Source: RNAcentral